GGGAUUGUGGCUCAGUGGUAGAGCACUUGCCUAGCAUGUAUGAGGCACUGAGUUUUAUUCUCAGCACCA
RNAcentral lists this transfer RNA (69 nucleotides) under Urocitellus parryii (Arctic ground squirrel). RNAcentral describes it as "Spermophilus parryii (Arctic ground squirrel) tRNA". It matches the Rfam family "tRNA". From Rfam's summary of the family: Transfer RNA (tRNA) molecules are approximately 80 nucleotides in length. Their secondary structure includes four short double-helical elements and three loops (D, anti-codon, and T loops). Further hydrogen bonds mediate the characteristic L-shaped molecular structure. tRNAs have two regions of fundamental functional importance: the anti-codon, which is responsible for specific mRNA codon recognition, and the 3' end, to which the tRNAs corresponding amino acid is attached (by aminoacyl-tRNA synthetases). tRNAs cope with the degeneracy of the genetic code in two manners: having more than one tRNA (with a specific anti-codon) for a particular amino acid; and 'wobble' base-pairing, i.e. permitting non-standard base-pairing at the 3rd anti-codon position. Lineage: Eukaryota; Metazoa; Chordata; Mammalia; Rodentia; Sciuridae. RNAcentral also lists the same sequence under 1 other name. The record is from Rfam by way of RNAcentral.